GGUCGGCUUCCCAAAAAAACACGCAACGUUGACGCAGGGCGCGACUAGGACCCAAAUAACUCGACGCAAAGAGUUGCAAAAGUUGAGAAAUUGACUUCAUAGUAACGGCGGAACUGCGGCUUGUACGCACCUGAGUAGAGAAGAUGUUGCAAGAAGCCCAGCGAACAGUGGCGCCGACAGCCUGGAGGGU
Molecule: unclassified non-coding RNA, 190 nt
Filed under: fungal sp.
Lineage: Eukaryota; Fungi
Description: partial internal transcribed spacer region
Source: RNAcentral